This 1321-nucleotide ribosomal RNA is filed under the name Microbacterium sp. RNAcentral's name for it is "bacterial SSU rRNA". It matches the Rfam family "Bacterial small subunit ribosomal RNA", at positions 73 to 1402 of the family's 1533-position model. Lineage: Bacteria; Bacillati; Actinomycetota; Actinomycetes; Micrococcales; Microbacteriaceae. The record is from RNAcentral.
CUGGUGCUUGCACUGGUGGAUUAGUGGCGAACGGGUGAGUAACACGUGAGCAACCUGCCCCUGACUCUGGGAUAAGCGCUGGAAACGGUGUCUAAUACUGGAUAUGUCCUGCCACCGCAUGGUGUGUGGGUGGAAAGAUUUUUCGGUUGGGGAUGGGCUCGCGGCCUAUCAGCUUGUUGGUGAGGUAAUGGCUCACCAAGGCGUCGACGGGUAGCCGGCCUGAGAGGGUGACCGGCCACACUGGGACUGAGACACGGCCCAGACUCCUACGGGAGGCAGCAGUGGGGAAUAUUGCACAAUGGGCGGAAGCCUGAUGCAGCAACGCCGCGUGAGGGAUGACGGCCUUCGGGUUGUAAACCUCUUUUAGCAGGGAAGAAGCUUUCGGGUGACGGUACCUGCAGAAAAAGCACCGGCUAACUACGUGCCAGCAGCCGCGGUAAUACGUAGGGUGCAAGCGUUAUCCGGAAUUAUUGGGCGUAAAGAGCUCGUAGGCGGUUUGUCGCGUCUGCUGUGAAAUUCCGAGGCUCAACCUCGGGCUUGCAGUGGGUACGGGCAGACUAGAGUGCGGUAGGGGAGAUUGGAAUUCCUGGUGUAGCGGUGGAAUGCGCAGAUAUCAGGAGGAACACCGAUGGCGAAGGCAGAUCUCUGGGCCGUAACUGACGCUGAGGAGCGAAAGGGUGGGGAGCAAACAGGCUUAGAUACCCUGGUAGUCCACCCCGUAAACGUUGGGAACUAGUUGUGGGGUCCUUUCCACGGAUUCCGUGACGCAGCUAACGCAUUAAGUUCCCCGCCUGGGGAGUACGGCCGCAAGGCUAAAACUCAAAGGAAUUGACGGGGACCCGCACAAGCGGCGGAGCAUGCGGAUUAAUUCGAUGCAACGCGAAGAACCUUACCAAGGCUUGACAUACACGAGAACGGGCCAGAAAUGGUCAACUCUUUGGACACUCGUGAACAGGUGGUGCAUGGUUGUCGUCAGCUCGUGUCGUGAGAUGUUGGGUUAAGUCCCGCAACGAGCGCAACCCUCGUUCUAUGUUGCCAGCACGUAAUGGUGGGAACUCAUGGGAUACUGCCGGGGUCAACUCGGAGGAAGGUGGGGAUGACGUCAAAUCAUCAUGCCCCUUAUGUCUUGGGCUUCACGCAUGCUACAAUGGCCGGUACAAUGGGCUGCGAUACCGUAAGGUGGAGCGAAUCCCAAAAAGCCGGUCCCAGUUCGGAUUGAGGUCUGCAACUCGACCUCAUGAAGUCGGAGUCGCUAGUAAUCGCAGAUCAGCAACGCUGCGGUGAAUACGUUCCCGGGUCUUGUACACACCGCCCGUCAAGU